This 319-nucleotide unclassified non-coding RNA is filed under the name uncultured fungus. RNAcentral describes it as "partial contains 5.8S rRNA and ITS2". The record is from RNAcentral. Lineage: Eukaryota; Fungi.
AACGCAAAUUGCGCUCGAGGCCUCCGGGUCGAGAGCAUGUCUGCCUCAGCGUCGCUCAUACCAAAUCGGCUCCUCCCCUUUGAAUAAAAGUGGGAGGGUGCCGGAUCUGGCCGUCCGGUUGUUCAGGCCGGUCGGCUGAAGGGAUUGCUCCGCUCGCAGCCUCCCUUUAAUGGGAAGGAGCCAGCCGGUAAGCAUGACCCUCUCCUGUUGGAGUUGGCCUGGCCUGCCGUUGAGCUCUGGUUGUGGGUUUGUAAGGAGUUGACAGGAACCACUUUUGAACAUCGACCUGAGAUCAGGCAAGGACACCCGCUGAACUUAA